UACGUAGGGGGCAAGCGUUGUCCGGAUUUAUUGGGCGUAAAGGGCGCGUAGGCGGUUCGAUAAGUCCCGUGUGAAAUCCCUCGGCUCAACUGAGGAAUGGCACGGGAAACUGACGGGCUUGAGUUCGGGAGAGGGAAGCGGAAUUCCGGGUGUAGCGGUGAAAUGCGUAGAUAUCCGGAGGAACACCGGUGGCGAAGGCGGCUUCCUGGACCGACACUGACGCUGAGGCGCGAAAGCUAGGGGAGCAAACGGG
Molecule: ribosomal RNA, 253 nt
Filed under: uncultured bacterium
Lineage: Bacteria
Description: partial 16S ribosomal RNA
Rfam family: Bacterial small subunit ribosomal RNA
Source: RNAcentral